RNAcentral lists this transfer RNA (66 nucleotides) under bovine gut metagenome. It matches the Rfam family "tRNA". Rfam says of the family: Transfer RNA (tRNA) molecules are approximately 80 nucleotides in length. Their secondary structure includes four short double-helical elements and three loops (D, anti-codon, and T loops). The record is from RNAcentral.
GGCAUAGCUCAGCUGGUAGAGCAGCUGAUUUGUAAUCAGCAGGUCGGGGGUUCAAGUCCCUCUGCC